RNAcentral lists this ribosomal RNA (542 nucleotides) under uncultured bacterium. Its description in RNAcentral is "bacterial SSU rRNA". It matches the Rfam family "Bacterial small subunit ribosomal RNA", at positions 8 to 567 of the family's 1533-position model. The record is from RNAcentral.
AGAGUUUGAUCAUGGCUCAGGACGAACGCUGGCGGCGUGCUUAACACAUGCAAGUCGAGCGAUGAAGCUCCUUCGGGAGUGGAUUAGCGGCGGACGGGUGAGUAACACGUGGGUAACCUGCCUCGUAGAGGGGAAUAGCCUUCCGAAAGGAAGAUUAAUACCGCAUAAGAUUGUAGUUUCGCAUGAAACAGCAAUUAAAGGAGUAAUCCGCUAUGAGAUGGACCCGCGUCGCAUUAGCUAGUUGGUGAGGUAACGGCUCACCAAGGCGACGAUGCGUAGCCGACCUGAGAGGGUGAUCGGCCACAUUGGGACUGAGACACGGCCCAGACUCCUACGGGAGGCAGCAGUGGGGAAUAUUGCGCAAUGGGGGAAACCCUGAUGCAGCAACGCCGCGUGAGUGAUGACGGUCUUCGGAUUGUAAAACUCUGUCUUCAGGGACGAUAAUGACGGUACCUGAGGAGGAAGCCACGGCUAACUACGUGCCAGCAGCCGCGGUAAUACGUAGGUGGCAAGCGUUGUCCGGAUUUACUGGGCGUAAAGGG